This 357-nucleotide long non-coding RNA is filed under the name Olea europaea (common olive). RNAcentral's name for it is "long non-coding RNA (OEUR_LNC006113)". The record is from RNAcentral. Lineage: Eukaryota; Viridiplantae; Streptophyta; Magnoliopsida; Lamiales; Oleaceae.
ACUGAUUUACCACAGAAGUUUAUUCCAUGCCAUUUCAUACAAAUGCAACAUUUGAUUUCCAUUUCCCAUUAAUUAGGGAUUUACCGCUAGUAUCAAUCCCUUGUCGGAGGCAUAACACCAACAUUAGCUUUUUUGAAACUUCUACCAUGGAUGCUGAUAAAAGUAUAUCAUCUUUGGGCUCCGUAUGGGUACAAUACAAUGUCGAAGAGACUCCAAUUGCGAUGGGUCCAUUAAAACACGAGUAGGUGAUUCACACAAGACUUGUGAGACUAUUGAACCCAAUAAUGAACUCGUUAAUACCCCAGCUCGACGCAUUGCCCAUUCCAUUAGUACAUCCUCAAAAUUAAAAGCUUCAGG